This 327-nucleotide long non-coding RNA is filed under the name Linum usitatissimum (flax). RNAcentral's name for it is "long non-coding RNA (LUSI_LNC002252)". The record is from RNAcentral. Lineage: Eukaryota; Viridiplantae; Streptophyta; Magnoliopsida; Malpighiales; Linaceae.
ACAACACAAAGGGUAUAUGGCACUAGUAACUAAUUAUUCGUGAAUUGGACGACAACCUGAUGGAAUUUCAAUAACCCUGAUGUCACACAGUGUAAGAAUUUGUCUGGUUUUCCGUAAAUAGAUCUUUGUCUAGUCUUUUCUCAAGUUAUGAAUCACUGGAUCUUCAGUUUCAAUCUCCGAAGAAAAAUCACAUUUGGGAUACAUAUAGUAAGAACUUAACAAGUAUAGAAGACUAGAGAAAUGCAAGUUGGUUCAAGAAUCGAGAAUAAUCAGUUCAUAUCAAAGGGACGUAAGACCAGGAGUCAAUGUUGGCUCAUGACUCGGGAU